This 273-nucleotide small RNA is filed under the name marine eukaryotic metagenome. Its description in RNAcentral is "5' ureB small RNA". It matches the Rfam family "5' ureB small RNA". The record is from RNAcentral.
CUUGCUGCGGACAAAUGAAAUGAAUGUGGGCAUCUAUAGCUCCUGCAGUAAUAAUUUGACCUUCGCCGGCAAUUAUUUCCGUGCCGGGCCCGAUUACGAUCGAAAUAUCUGACUGUAUAUCGGGAUUUCCAGCCUUACCUAUGGAAUGAAUCUUUCCAUUUUUCAGCCCAAUGUCUGCCUUAACAAUUCCCCAAUGAUCUAGAAUCAAUGCAUUGGUGAUUAUCGUAUCCAUCGAUUCAGCAUCACCUCGCUGGCUUUGGCCCAUCCCGUCCC